RNAcentral lists this transfer RNA (73 nucleotides) under Felis catus (domestic cat). It matches the Rfam family "tRNA". From Rfam's summary of the family: Transfer RNA (tRNA) molecules are approximately 80 nucleotides in length. Their secondary structure includes four short double-helical elements and three loops (D, anti-codon, and T loops). Further hydrogen bonds mediate the characteristic L-shaped molecular structure. tRNAs have two regions of fundamental functional importance: the anti-codon, which is responsible for specific mRNA codon recognition, and the 3' end, to which the tRNAs corresponding amino acid is attached (by aminoacyl-tRNA synthetases). tRNAs cope with the degeneracy of the genetic code in two manners: having more than one tRNA (with a specific anti-codon) for a particular amino acid; and 'wobble' base-pairing, i.e. permitting non-standard base-pairing at the 3rd anti-codon position. The record is from Rfam by way of RNAcentral. Lineage: Eukaryota; Metazoa; Chordata; Mammalia; Carnivora; Felidae.
GCCUGACUGGCUCAGUUGGAAGAGCACGCAACUCUUGAUCUCGGGGUCGUGAGUUCAAGCCCCAUGUUGGGUG